GAAUAAGCUACAAAGAGCAUACAGGAGGAUGCCUUGGUACAUGGCGCCGAAGAAGGACGUGACAAGCUGCGAAAAGCUACGGGGAGCUGCAAAUGAGCAUAGAUCCGUAGAUAUCCGAAUGAGGGAACUCAAUACAAGUAAUGUUGUAUUACACCGUAAUGAAUUCAUAGUUACGAGUGAGGGAACCUGGGGAACUGAAACAUCUAAUUACCCAGAGGAAAAGAAAGAAAAAUCGAUUCCGAAAGUAGUGGCGAGCGAAAU
This 261-nucleotide ribosomal RNA is filed under the name Clostridia bacterium. RNAcentral describes it as "partial 23S ribosomal RNA". It matches the Rfam family "Bacterial large subunit ribosomal RNA", at positions 1 to 259 of the family's 2925-position model. Lineage: Bacteria; Bacillati; Bacillota; Clostridia. The record is from RNAcentral.